Molecule: long non-coding RNA, 661 nt
Filed under: Panax ginseng (ginseng)
Lineage: Eukaryota; Viridiplantae; Streptophyta; Magnoliopsida; Apiales; Araliaceae
Description: long non-coding RNA (PGIN_LNC004968)
Source: RNAcentral
UUCAACCAUCUUCUAUAAGAUUUAUGCUCUUUUAGUUCUACUUCCAUUUCCACAAACACAUCCUACAUGGACUCUCUAUUCACUAAUCGCAAGGUAAUUCUCUUCCUCCCACUCUCCAUAUAUAUAUAUAUAUAUAUAUAUAUAUACGCUCCCUAAUUAUGAUCUUCUUUUUUUGAAAUUAUAGAUUUCUACCAGGGACCGUUGGCCUAAGCACGCUCUACAUGGGAGUUCCCUUUACAGUUUCGCAAGCUACCGUGCGCAGAGGGUACUGUUUCCUACAAAUGUUUACAUGAAUAGAAAACGAGAAGGAUGUUUAUUGUUCAAAAGCUUCUCUAUUAGAGCUGUGGCUUCUUCUUCUUCGGGGAGGCCGUCGACAAGCGGUCGGAAGGUGUAUUAUCAAUCUCAAUCCCAAGCUCCUCUACCGGCUGUUGUGUCAAAGGAUAUUCGUUUAUUGUUCCGGCCGGUACAUUUGUGGUUGUUACUUUUGAUUGUGUAUUAAAUUCUAGUUUUGGUUUUAUUUCUUUUUUCAAAAUGUUGAUAUAGAUGAGCAGGAACAACCAAAUGUGUAUUAACUUAUUUUACUAGUGUCUGAUUGUACGUAAAGCAUUUGCAUUUUUCUGCAUUUAAAAUGAGUUUAAGUUAUGUUUUGAUAGUUUUCUUC